ACUGAGUCUUGAAGAGGUUGCAGCUGGUCUUAUCAGGCAAGUGCUCGCCUCGUUCAAAUCCACUCUACACCUGUGCACUUACUGUGGACUUUGGUAUUUUUGGAGGGUCCUUUGGCCCUUUAUGAAUCCGGGUUCAUGUUUUAUUAUAUAUACGCUUCAGUAUUGAGAAUGUGUAUUGUGAUGUAACGCAUCGUUAU
RNAcentral lists this unclassified non-coding RNA (197 nucleotides) under Cerioporus squamosus. Its description in RNAcentral is "partial ITS1". Lineage: Eukaryota; Fungi; Basidiomycota; Agaricomycetes; Polyporales; Polyporaceae. The record is from RNAcentral.